AUUCUAACAAAAAGAGUAAGAAGCCAAUACACUUCAGAAAUUUUAAACAACUCAAUAUCAAAUCAUAAUUAUUAAGUACAUCCAUUUGUAGAUACAAUAAAUUGAUUAUAAUCAUUAAUUAUUUUUAGUUUUACUUGAAUCUCACUAUAAUCAAUAAUUAUAAUGAAUUCAGGGUACAUACAAUUUCGGACUGGAAAAUAAAGUUCUCAUACAUACUAAUAAUGGGAUCAAAUAAAACACAAAGUAGAUAGGACAUUGUGCAAGAGACGACUUCAAUGUUGUUAUGGGUUGGAAAGCAACUCUUUGCAGUUGCUUUUCUCAUAUUUGAACCUUCGGAUGCUGGCCAGGGGCUAGCAUUCCCAUCUUAAUGCCAUCUGUUUCUAUUAUAGCCCCUGCAAGAUUUUUUCUUGAAGCACUCGAUUAAAUCAUUUGCAGUGUCGAUACCUGCAAAAUAAGCACCAGUAGCAUAUCCUAUAUAAUUAUUGCUGGUGUGCUCCCCUGUGAAGUAUACAGGACCAAUAGGAUCCGCCAAUUGGUCUUUGCGUUUUUGACUGUAGCUAUCAGGCCAAUUAGAAUAGCUGCCCUUGUAGAACCUGUCCAAGCCCCAUCUAGGUACGAGAAUGGAUUCUGGUUUUGGAAUGUUAUCCCCAAACAACUUUUUAAGUAUUACCAUUAUCUCUGCUUCAAUUGCUUCAUCAGGCAAUUGCUCUAUUCUCCUUGACUCAUCAGCUGUUACCGUUACAAACAAUAUAUUUGAUCCUGGAUAUUCAUUCUCCAGAUGCUGCCAAAGUGGAUAGUAUCCACGCCUCACAUGGGUGUAGAGGAAGAACUCGGUUCCAGGGCCGGAAGGCCAGAACUUGUAAGGGAACUUUAGAAAGAUCUUGGUAUAUAUGGUCAUGCCAAAGUCUGAUAUUGCAAUUCUUUUCCAUAGCGGUAAAGUGGGCUGGAACUCAAUUAGGUCACUCUGAAGAACUCCAAGGCUGACAGAUACGAUAACAUACUUGGAAUUGUAUGUGGAACCAUCUUCAGUUUUUAUGGUAACUCCGCUCUUUGAGUAGCUUAUCUCUCUAACUACCUUAUUUAGCUUAAGCCUCGGAUCACUUGUCAAAGAAGAAAGGAACUGCUUAGCAAGAUACUGAACUACAAUCUCAAAGCCUCUCGGAUCAGCCACGAAGUAUGGAUCCUCUCCAUGGUCUACAAACUCGUUUCGAGGGUAAGUGUGCUUCAAACUAGUCACUUUUGGUGGCUCUGCGUCUUCAUAAUCAUUGUGAUAGAAGUCGAUCACCAUUUCAAGUGGGGUUUUGGGCACCUGUUUGAAUAUUCGCUGUGCUGCCAAAAUUGAAACAUCAACAUCCUUCUUUUUGGAUGACAAUUUUUUCGAAAACUUUUCACAGAAAUCAUCUCUGGCGGUGGCAACCUUAUCAAUUUCCUCUACCAGCUUGGAAGGGUAUAGUCCACCUUCUUGUUUAAAGGUGUUUGAUGUGAGAUUUUCAUAGUCAUUGAGGGAAGUUCUGAGCUUAAGUUUUUUGGCAAUGUCCAGCAAGGGAUUGGCCACAGGCCCCCCACCAAAAAGCCAAUUGGCACCCUUCUCAACAGUAAGUCCACUAAAUUGAGUUUUCAUGAGACGACCACCAAUCCUAGGAGUUGCCUCUACAAUCAACAUAUCAUGAAUCCCUGCCUCAUGUAGCGUUUUUGCUGCUGCAAUUCCUGAAAUUCCGGCUCCGAUGACAAUGACGGUGGGCGACGGUGAGGCCGAAGCAGCAGCCAAGAAGAAACAGAGAAGAAAGAGAAGCACCAUGGCCAAAAGCUUCUGCAUCAUACUUGAACAGCAAGUUGACUGCUGAUGACUACUGAGUGGGAAGGCUUCCCUGGAUUCCUAGUCAUAUUUGAAGCAAAGCAAACAAUACCAUAAUAUUCACAUAUUUUACUGUUUAUUAUCAACAGAAUCAUCCACGUUUGCAUAUGAAUUUGAAUAUAUUAUCAGAAUUAAUUCAACCAGAG
This 2001-nucleotide unclassified non-coding RNA is filed under the name Hevea brasiliensis (rubber tree). The record is from RNAcentral. Lineage: Eukaryota; Viridiplantae; Streptophyta; Magnoliopsida; Malpighiales; Euphorbiaceae.